This 414-nucleotide ribosomal RNA is filed under the name uncultured bacterium. RNAcentral's name for it is "bacterial SSU rRNA". It matches the Rfam family "Bacterial small subunit ribosomal RNA", at positions 508 to 920 of the family's 1533-position model. The record is from RNAcentral.
ACAGCAGCCGCGGUAAUACGUAGGUGGCGAGCGUUAUCCGGAAUUACUGGGUGUAAAGGGCGUGUAGGCGGGAAUGUAAGUCAGAUGUGAAACUCCGGGGCUUAACUCCGGAUCUGCAUCUGAAACUAUGUUUCUUGAGUGCUGGAGAGGAAAGCGGAAUUCCUAGUGUAGCGGUGAAAUGCGUAGAUAUUAGGAGGAACACCAGUGGCGAAGGCGGCUUUCUGGACAGUAACUGACGCUGAGGCGCGAAAGCGUGGGGAGCAAACAGGAUUAGAUACCCUGGUAGUCCACGCUGUAAACGAUGGAUACUAGGUGUGGGAGGUAUCGACCCCUUCCGUGCCGCAGUUAACACAAUAAGUAUCCCACCUGGGGAGUACGGCCGCAAGGUUGAAACUUAAAGGAAUUGGCGGGGGA